RNAcentral lists this ribosomal RNA (473 nucleotides) under uncultured bacterium. RNAcentral's name for it is "SSU rRNA". It matches the Rfam family "Bacterial small subunit ribosomal RNA", at positions 26 to 521 of the family's 1533-position model. The record is from RNAcentral.
AGAGCGAACGCUGGCGGCAGGCUUAACACAUGCAAGUCGAGCGGGCGUAGCAAUACGUCAGCGGCAGACGGGUGAGUAACGCGUGGGAACAUACCUUUUGGUUCGGAACAACACAGGGAAACUUGUGCUAAUACCGGAUAAGCCCUUACGGGGAAAGAUUUAUCGCCGAAAGAUUGGCCCGCGUCUGAUUAGCUAGUUGGUGAGGUAACGGCUCACCAAGGCGACGAUCAGUAGCUGGUCUGAGAGGAUGAUCAGCCACAUUGGGACUGAGCACGGCCCAAACUCCUACGGGAGGCAGCAGUGGGAAUAUUGGACAAUGGGCGCAAGCCUGAUCCAGCCAUGCCGCGUGAGUGAUGAAGGCCUUCGGGUCGUAAAGCUCUGUGGGGAGGGACGAACCGCUGGAGAUUAAUACCUUCCAGCAUGACGGUACCUCCUUAGCAAGCACCGGCUAACUUCGCGCCAGCAGCCGCGGU